RNAcentral lists this ribosomal RNA (123 nucleotides) under Sulfitobacter sp. HI0129. Its description in RNAcentral is "partial 16S ribosomal RNA". It matches the Rfam family "Bacterial small subunit ribosomal RNA", at positions 1417 to 1533 of the family's 1533-position model. The record is from RNAcentral. Lineage: Bacteria; Pseudomonadati; Pseudomonadota; Alphaproteobacteria; Rhodobacterales; Roseobacteraceae.
CUACCCGACGGCCGUGCGCUAACCUUUUGGAGGCAGCGGACCACGGUAGGAUCAGCGACUGGGGUGAAGUCGUAACAAGGUAGCCGUAGGGGAACCUGCGGCUGGAUCACCUCCUUUCUAAGG